CCUGCGGUCCGCGGCCCGGGGAAUCUGAAGCGUGGCUCGGGAGCCCCGGGGGACAUGGCCUCCUUCUUGGCUGUCGUCGGGGCGCCCGGGGGAGUCAACUCCUGUGUCUUUGACCGUUUCCAUUACAGUGUCAAGAUGGGAGAUCGGAGUGUCUAUAAUGAAAACACAAGUGUGGUGGUCUCAGUCCAAAGAGCUUUUGUCCACCCUAAGUUCUCAACAGUUACAACCAUUCGAAAUGACCUUGCCCUUCUCCAGCUCCAACAUCCUGUGAAUUUUACCUCAAACAUCCAGCCUAUCUGCAUCCCUCAGGAGAAUUUCCAGGUGGAAGGGAGAUUCUGGGGGCCGCUUGGCCUGUGAAUAUAAUGACACAUGGGUCCAGGUAGGGAUUGUGAGCUGGGGCAUCGGCUGUGGUCGCUGAGGGUUGCCUGGAGUUUAUACAGAAAUUGGUGUCUACAGUAAGUGGCUGAUUGCAGUGGUGGAUCAGGCUACCUGUUUGUAUCCAGCAGUGUUCCUCAUCUUAGUCCUGCAUUUGGUGCUGCCCCUGGGCAUCCUGGUGGCCCAGUGAUCACCCCAGCCCACUCCCCUUUUGUUUCUGAGUCUCAUACUAGGCCUCUCCUCCAACCUCCCACUCCUUCUCAAUGCCGUUUCUGAAAAUCCCAGUUGGAAUCCACGGGCCCUCUGGAGAUCCAUACAAUAGAGCACAGCAGGGAGACUGGGGCCUGGAAAGUGCCCCUGCCUGGUGCUCUGGUCACCUGCCUCAGCCAUGCCUGCACCAGGGCUGUGCUCUGGCUAGUGGGAAGGAGGGGGUGAACUAAUUCCAGCUAGAGGACCAGCCUCCCUGCCAGGUGGGCCACAGUGACUCAUCAGUAUCUGGGGGAACAUCUAUCAAAGAAGAGACAUCAUCAACAGUGAAGCAAGUGUUAGAUGUGGUUCUGGUUUCAGGGCUCCCACCUAAGACUUUGUGAAACCAGCCAGCUGGGUGAUUGCUCAGCGUGAAGGAGGCGUUACCAGGUCCCUGCAGAGGUGUGAGGCCUGGGACUUCCACUCUAGGCUCAGUUGUCUGGGGCUGGGAGAAGUUCCCCUGCAGCCCAGUGUGGAUCCAUCUGUGAGUGGACAGCCUCUGCCACACUAACUCUCUUGGGGCUACCCAUUCUUGGCACCCCCUUCCUCAGUGCCCUAGUGGCCACUUUCAGAGACACUACAAGUUGUAUUGAGGCAGUUAUGGAGUGCAGAGUUUUCAGAAAUCAACUAAAUAAAUGUUUGGAGAGUCUCCUAUGUUC
This is a long non-coding RNA of Homo sapiens (human), 1280 nucleotides long. Ensembl annotates it as serine protease 42, pseudogene. Its record names the gene PRSS42P. The record is from Ensembl. Lineage: Eukaryota; Metazoa; Chordata; Mammalia; Primates; Hominidae.